ACUCAAAGGAAUUGACGGGGGCCCGCACAAGCGGAGGAACAUGUGGUUUAAUUCGAUGAUACGCGAGGAACCUUACCUGGGCUCGAACGCGGAGGGAAUGUAGGUGAAAGCUUACAGCUAGCAAUAGCCGUCUGCGAGGUGCUGCAUGGUUGUCGUCAGCUCGUGCCGUGAGGUGUCGGCUUAAGUGCCAUAACGAGCGCAACCCUUAUCAUUAGUUGCCAGCGGGUUAAGCCGGGGACUCUAAUGAAACUGCCAGCGUAAGCUGUGAGGAAGGCGGGGAUGACGUCAAAUCAGCACGGCCCUUACGUCCAGGGCUACACACGUGUUACAAUGGAUGGUACAGAGGGCAGCUACUUCGCGAGAAGAUGCUAAUCUCCAAAGCCAUUCUCAGUUCGGAUCGGAGUCUGCAACUCGACUCCGUGAAGCUGGAUUCGCUAGUAAUCGCAUAUCAGCCACGAUGCGGUGAAUACGUUCCCGGGCCUUGUACACACCGCCCGU
Molecule: ribosomal RNA, 498 nt
Filed under: uncultured bacterium
Lineage: Bacteria
Description: partial 16S ribosomal RNA
Rfam family: Bacterial small subunit ribosomal RNA
Source: RNAcentral